This 71-nucleotide transfer RNA is filed under the name Ipomoea nil (Japanese morning glory). It matches the Rfam family "tRNA". From Rfam's summary of the family: Transfer RNA (tRNA) molecules are approximately 80 nucleotides in length. Their secondary structure includes four short double-helical elements and three loops (D, anti-codon, and T loops). Lineage: Eukaryota; Viridiplantae; Streptophyta; Magnoliopsida; Solanales; Convolvulaceae. The record is from Rfam by way of RNAcentral.
GUACCAGUUGUCUAGUGGUAGAAUAAUACCCUGCCACGAUAUAGAGCCGGGUUUAAUUCCCAGCUGGUGUA